GGUAAGUGUAGGUACAGGUAAGUGUAGGUACAGGUAAGUGUAGGUACAGGUAAGUGUAGGUACAGGUAAGUGUAGGUACAGGUAAGUGUAGGUACAGGUAAGUGUAGGUACAGGUAAGUGUAGGUACAGGUAAGUGUAGGUACAGGUAAUGGUGUUGAUGUGAGCCAUUACCAUGCUUUCAAACCACUUCAUGGCUACGGACGUGAGCUCUACGGGUCUGUAGUCAUAUUUGCAGGUUGCCUUUGUGUUGUUGGGCACAGGGACUAUGGUGGUCUGCUUGAAGCAUGUUAGUAUUACAGAGUCAAUC
Oncorhynchus tshawytscha (Chinook salmon) is the source of this 307-nucleotide long non-coding RNA. NCBI's taxonomy places the organism in Eukaryota, Metazoa, Chordata, Actinopteri, Salmoniformes, Salmonidae. The record is from Ensembl.